Peromyscus maniculatus bairdii (prairie deer mouse) is the source of this 682-nucleotide non-coding RNA. NCBI's taxonomy places the organism in Eukaryota, Metazoa, Chordata, Mammalia, Rodentia, Cricetidae. The record is from RefSeq and is a predicted model, not a curated record.
UCUGGCAGGCAUACUCACACACAGACACAAAUCCCUCAAAUUAUCAGUGAUCAGGAUGCAGUGAGGAGGACAUCACACUGGAUGAGGAUGACAUUGCCAGUUGGUUUUAAACUCUUCACAAUAGCUGUUAUAAGUGAGUCCCACAGUUCUGCAUAAUUUUGGACUAAAAUUGCCUAGAGAAGCAUGCUGUGUCUCUGCAGACUAUGUUGAUGUAGUUGGCUCAAAUCUGUCACCCUGAACACCGCCUGUCAUAAGCCCUUGCCACAUCCCUGAUCAUCCAGUGAGUUUCAGAAUUUAAGAUCCAGGAUUGGAGAAUGGGCCAAUGCCACUCACAGCAAACACUACUGACAAGCUGUUAAUUUAGUUUCUGUCACUGUGAACCAAGAGCUUGGCCAGUUAAAGAGGACACCAUGGCAAUCUGGGAACAAGAGGGUAAAAUGCCAUAUGACACCCAAAAAGAUGUCAAUGUGACACGGUCUUUGACUUUUUCAGGGGGCGUUCCUUCUUCCAUGCUGUUUCUGCUCUGAUCACACAUGACCCCUGCCAAGCAAAGGAGACCCAGACCCUUGACCUGACUCACUCAGAUCUCUGUGACUCCCAUCACAGCACGGCUCCUCCCAUACUGACAUACAGCUGAGUCUGUUCACUCAGUUGCUGACUGUAGAGGGUGCUGAAAUAUCAC